RNAcentral lists this ribosomal RNA (497 nucleotides) under uncultured bacterium. Its description in RNAcentral is "partial 16S ribosomal RNA". It matches the Rfam family "Bacterial small subunit ribosomal RNA", at positions 28 to 507 of the family's 1533-position model. The record is from RNAcentral.
GAUGAACGCUGGCGGCGUGCCUAAUACAUGCGAGUCGAGCGAACAGACGAGGAGCUUGCUCCUCUGACGUUAGCGGCGGACGGGUGAGUAACACGUGGAUAACCUACCUAUAAGACUGGGAUAACUUCGGGAAACCGGAGCUAAUACCGGAUAAUAUAUUGAACCGCAUGGUUCAAUAGUGAAAGACGGUUUUGCUGUCACUUAUGGAUGGAUCCGCGCCGCAUUAGCUAGUUGGUAAGGUAACGGCUUACCAAGGCAACGAUGCGUAGCCGACCUGAGAGGGUGAUCGGCCACACUGGAACUGAGACACGGUCCAGACUCCUACGGGAGGCAGCAGUAGGGAAUCUUCCGCAAUGGGCGAAAGCCUGACGGAGCAACGCCGCGUGAGUGAUGAAGGUCUUCGGAUCGUAAAACUCUGUUAUUAGGGAAGAACAAAUGUGUAAGUAACUAUGCACGUCUUGACGGUACCUAAUCAGAAAGCCACGGCUAACUACGUG